CCAUCCCCCGCGAGUGAAGGGGCAACAGCUAAAAUUCGAAAUCUGGCGUUUUGCUCCCGAUUGAAUUUUGCAGGGGAUGUUUUUUGCGCGGUGCCUUCCGAGUUCCNUGGAACGGGACGCCAUAGAGGGUGAGAGCCCCGUCCGGUCGGUAAACUAAAGUUAUUGGGGUCCUUUCGACGAGUCGAGUAGUUUGGGAAUGCUGCUUAAAAUGGGAGGUAAACUCCUUUUAAAGUUAAAUUUUGGCCAAAGACCGUUAGCGCACAAGUGGAGUGAUCGAAAGAUGAAAAGCACUUUGAAAAGAGAGUCAAUUAGCACGUGAAAUUGUUGAAAGGGAAGCGCUUGUGACCAGACUUGGGCCUGGUAGUUCAGCCGUCCUUUUGGGCGGUGCACUUUUACGGUUUCAGGCCACCAUCAGUUUGCUAUCGGGGAGAAAUUAUUGGGGAACGUGGUUCUUCGGAGUGUUAUAGCCCGUUUUUUAUGCCCUUCCGGCGACUGAGGUUAGCCGUUUUGCACGGAUGCUGGCGUAAUGGUCAUUAACGACCCCUUUUGAAACCCGGACCAAGGAGUUAUUCUAAUUUGCCAAUGUUUGGGUGUCAAACCCCUACGCGAAAUGAAAAUGAACGGAGGUGGAAAAUUUGGGGCAUUAUUGACCGAUCCUGAUGUUCUCGGAUGGAUUUGAAUAAAAACAUAUUGGGCUGGACCCCAAAAAAGGGGAACUUUGCUUGGGUAGGGCAAANCCANAGGNA
This 746-nucleotide ribosomal RNA is filed under the name Halosarpheia sp. A481. RNAcentral's name for it is "eukaryotic LSU rRNA". It matches the Rfam family "Eukaryotic large subunit ribosomal RNA", at positions 80 to 860 of the family's 3401-position model. Lineage: Eukaryota; Fungi; Ascomycota; Sordariomycetes; Microascales; Halosphaeriaceae. The record is from RNAcentral.